Aegilops tauschii subsp. strangulata is the source of this 1889-nucleotide non-coding RNA. Lineage: Eukaryota; Viridiplantae; Streptophyta; Magnoliopsida; Poales; Poaceae. The record is from RefSeq and is a predicted model, not a curated record.
GAGCCACCAACCCUCCGUCCUCGAGCCCCACGUCCCCUCCUCCAAUGCUCUCCACCACCACCGUGCCUCUUCCUCUCCCUCGCCCCUCUCCUCCCCCGCUCUCAAAAUCCCAAGGCAUGGUCGCUGCCACCUCUCCAUCUCUCUUCCCGCAGGACAACACCCCCACGUUCUUUCUUCUCUCCUGCUUGGAGUUGCUGUUCCAGAUCCGGCGCAGGUCGCCGCCAUGUGAGAGCAGGGGGAUAUGGUGUUCAUGAUGGGCAUGGAGGAGCACAACGGGACGGCGAUAGGGGGAGGGAGCAGUGAAGCCAGGGCUCUAGGCGGAGCUCGCGUCACGCUGGCCAUCACUUCCGACAUCGUCACCAAUCUAGAUUUGAGAUACAAGUGAGGAACUUUUCUAAGCUUUUGUAUGUUCCGUCUACAUCACAAGCGGUCUUCCGAUUGCGUCGAGUGCAUCACAAAGGCGCAGGGGGAAAAUGGAAGAAUCAGCCAAAAUCUGACAAGAUGCAAAGGCACAUAUCGAGUGUGGGCAUACGUCAAGCUGUCGCUUGAGGCUGCCAUCAUGCUCUGCUGCAAAAUUUGUAUCUCUUCAUGAUCACUGUCCUCACCAGCAUUGUCCAGGAUCCGCAGAUUGAUUGUCAACUCGCUUGACAAUCAAUAUCAUAGGGAAAUGAUUUCACGAAACAAAUGAUUUCACGAACCAGAUAUCAUAGGGAAAUCAACAAAGAAGGUAAAUUUACACAAAGAGAAGAAUAUUGUUUAUUACUUUAUUUUCUCCUACUGAUUUAUCCUUUUAAACCACCUUUGUUCAUGACCUAAAUAUGCAUGGAAGAGGAUCAUUUUAGCCGAUGGGAAACACAUUAUCAAUGGUACAAAACUACCUACCCCCCGAAUUUAUAUCACAUGUUAACAUGGAUUGCUCGUUACAUUCAAUAGGUAUCCGUGGUCACUGAUGGGGCAAGUGGCCAAGGUGAGAUUUGGAAGGACGGUUCCACAAAUGAACUUAAUUGACAAGCUCACUGGCAGGUCAUAGCUAACAUCAUCAAGCAUCAACAGCAAGCAGCAAGCAGCCAGCAGCAAAGAAGAGACAGGAGCAAAGCAGCCAGUAGCAAAGAAGGGACAGAAGCAAAGCAGCCAGUGGCAGCAAACAACAAACAACAUCAGCAGCAAGCAACAUGCAGAGGCGAUUUCUCACCAUGUUGUAAGUGGCAAGGUCGGACGGAGCAGAGCAACGAGCUCGGACAGUGACAAUGACGGUCAACGUCAGGGAAGAAGUAGGAGGGACCCGCGGCUUCGAGUCCAUGGUCCAGAGGAGAUGCGGACAACACGGAGCCCGUCACGGUCCCUGGAGCUGUUCGGUGAGGAGGAUGACCGCGGCGCCGCAGUGGCGGCCGACGGAACCGACAAAGACGGCCUCGGUCCAAGAGGCUGCUGCACGUCAGUGCCCGAAUCACCAUUAAAGGAACAACAGGAGUAACAAUGGAGCUAGGGGAACUACCUAGGAGAAGGAACGCACCGGAAAACAAGGUAGUUCACGGCGGCGUCCAGCGGGUGUGCAUGUCGGAGCCGGAGGCAUGGAUGUUGAUCCGGACUGAGGGCUAGCGUAUCCCGCCGAUUCCUGCGGCUGGUGUUGCAAUGGCGACCGGUGCCCCCAGCGAGCUAGACGAGAAAGGGGAUCCAGGAGAAGAGCAAAUGAAGUGACGGUAGUGGGCUGUAGUAAGAGAUAAUGUGAAGGGGCAUGGGUUCACGGGCGCGUGUGGCGUGUCCCUGCGAGAUGGUGUUAAGGCGAUUUUGUCCUGACCUGGAAGACCCACUGCUAAGUGGCAAAGGUCUGGAAGAAAAUAAAAACAAAUGAAAUUGGCUGGAAUAUCUAUUCCUGCUUUACUCCUUCA